GUGAUUGAAGACGCUAUUGAAGACGCUGUGGAAGCCUUUGAAAGUUAUACUGCUGAAGGAGCUGAUCUAGCUGAAGAAGUAACUGAAGAAAUGGCUGAAGAAAUAGCUGAAGCCAAAGUCGAAGUUCAAGAGAUAUCAAAAGAGAGCAGCGUCAUAAAAAAAUGUAUUGUAAAUGUCUCCACAGGCAUCAAAGAUUUGGGAAUAUUUAUGGCAAAGAAUGCAGCAAUUGGUGUAAUAUUGUGGGGUGUUAAUGUUACACUAGCAAAACUGUUCCCUAAAGGCCAAGGGCAGAGUGAAAAACAAAAAUGUGCCUUGAUAAAAGAAGUGAUCCAAGUGAUCAAAACUGAAAUAUGCAUAUCUAAAAGGAUGGCUAAAUGGUUAGAAGACCAUAAGGAAGAAACGGUCAUAUUGGAUGGCAUAGAAAUCCCUCUGGAAUCACUAAUUUCCACACACAUUAAGCCAGUAUCUGAUGCUAUUGACCAAGCAUACUCUGUGGCACAGUCACUACAAAACUCUGAUGGAAAUCCUUACAAAGUUCCAACUGCAGGAGACAUACAGAAGUUCCUCAUGGCGGCAGAUGCUUUCCUAAAUGCUUUCAACUUCCUGGUGGCAUUCAUCAAUGAAAACAUGCAGAAGUUUCAAGGUCUCUGCAGCUUCCCAGUGAAAAAAGAAGACAUUGACACUCUCAGAGAACUGAUAGAGAAUGUGAAGGCUGAAAAAAUGAACUGGUCUUAAUGUGCUCUUAACGGUUUCUUUCUUUCUUUCUUUCUUUCUUUUUGCAUUUGUAAAUAAAGACAGUGACUUCAGCUGUCAACUUUACAUGCAUCCUUAGCAGUAUGAAAACAAAGUAUCCGGCAAAUUGUGAAUUAAUUAUUUACAGAAAGUCAGCUAAGAACAGUCCUUUUGUAAUGUAAUAAUGAGAGCAUUUGUAAGAGUGCUCAAGUGAGCAUGUGCUGAAUAAAACCCUGGCAUUUUGAGAAAUACUGAGUGGAUUUCUGCUGUAGCGCUGAAUAUUU
RNAcentral lists this long non-coding RNA (1016 nucleotides) under Sinocyclocheilus anshuiensis. Its description in RNAcentral is "lncRNA (ENSSANG00000004245.1)". The record is from RNAcentral. Lineage: Eukaryota; Metazoa; Chordata; Actinopteri; Cypriniformes; Cyprinidae.